Octopus sinensis (East Asian common octopus) is the source of this 555-nucleotide long non-coding RNA. RefSeq lists it as uncharacterized. The record is from RefSeq and is a predicted model, not a curated record. The transcript has 3 exons. NCBI's taxonomy places the organism in Eukaryota, Metazoa, Mollusca, Cephalopoda, Octopoda, Octopodidae.
AGAAUUUCCAGUCAUAAAUUCUCGAAGUUGCUGUUUAUCCUCCACCGAAAAAGGUUAAAAAAUGAAUGAUUACACUUAUUGGUUUACAUGCGAACUUUUGUUUAUUUUAUAUCCUUCUAUAUGUUGGAUAUGCAAAUUUCACGAAGCGGGGAUAGACACAACUGUCUUCACACAACCUACUUCAGAUUACUCCACUAAACACAAUACUCUAAUAAAUAGAAACUCUGAACAAUGUCAGCAACUUCCAUGAACUCCCAAUGACUCUCUUUGUCUCAACCAAUAUGCUAAUUUUUUUAUAAGAGUUUUGCUAGUCCAUUCUUCCAAUCCCAUAGGGGUGCCAAUGACUCUCACCACAACAGUUUAUACAUGUAUAUUUUACCAAAACAAGUAUCCCCAUGCGAAGCUUCACCUGUAUGAAGUAUCCCAUCCAUCAUGCCUCAGAGGUGUUCAGUAGGGUUCAUAUCUGGUGAUUGGCUUAGCUAUGGAAGCUUUUUAAUGCCAUUCUCUUCCAACCAAUCCUGGGUCUUUUAGUUGUGCAAGAAAGCCCUAUCUUCC